UGGCGGACGGGUGAGUAACGCGUGGAAAACCUGCCGUAUACUGGGGGAUAACACUUAGAAAUAGGUGCUAAUACCGCAUAAGCGCACAGCUUCGCAUGAAGCGGUGUGAAAAACUCUGGUGGUAUACGAUGGUUCCGCGUCUGAUUAGCUAGUUGGUGGGGUAAUGGCCUACCAAGGCAACGAUCAGUAGCCGGGCCUGAGAGGGUGAACCGGCCACAUUGGGACUGAGACACGGCCCAAACUCCUACGGGAGGCAGCAG
RNAcentral lists this ribosomal RNA (260 nucleotides) under uncultured bacterium. RNAcentral describes it as "partial 16S ribosomal RNA". It matches the Rfam family "Bacterial small subunit ribosomal RNA", at positions 96 to 354 of the family's 1533-position model. The record is from RNAcentral.